CCUACGGGGUGCAGCAGUGGGGAAUAUUGGACAAUGGGCGAAAGCCUGAUCCAGCCAUGCCGCGUGUGUGAAGAAGGCCUUCGGGUUGUAAAGCACUUUCAGUGGGGAAGAAAGCCUUGGGGCUAAUACCCUCGAGGAAGGACAUCACCCACAGAAGAAGCACCGGCUAACUCCGUGCCAGCAGCCGCGGUAAUACGGAGGGUGCGAGCGUUAAUCGGAAUUACUGGGCGUAAAGCGCGCGUAGGCGGUCUGAUAAGCCGGUUGUGAAAGCCCCGGGCUCAACCUGGGAACGGCAUCCGGAACUGUCAGGCUAGAGUGCAGGAGAGGAAGGUAGAAUUCCCGGUGUAGCAGUGAAAUGCGUAGAGAUCGGGAGGAAUACCAGUGGCGAAGGCGGCCUUCUGGACUGACACUGACGCUGAGGUGCGAAAGCGUGGGUAGCAAACAGGAUUAGAUACCCCAGUAGUC
This 465-nucleotide ribosomal RNA is filed under the name Vreelandella stevensii. RNAcentral describes it as "partial 16S ribosomal RNA". It matches the Rfam family "Bacterial small subunit ribosomal RNA", at positions 338 to 795 of the family's 1533-position model. Lineage: Bacteria; Pseudomonadati; Pseudomonadota; Gammaproteobacteria; Oceanospirillales; Halomonadaceae. The record is from RNAcentral.